Long non-coding RNA from Bombina bombina (fire-bellied toad), 273 nucleotides. RefSeq lists it as uncharacterized. The record is from RefSeq and is a predicted model, not a curated record. NCBI's taxonomy places the organism in Eukaryota, Metazoa, Chordata, Amphibia, Anura, Bombinatoridae. The transcript has 2 exons.
AUUUGUCAGUCACGUUUCGUAUUGAAGCCAUAAGUUAUUGUUUAAAAGGUAUUUCUUUUCUUUUAGGCCAGAGGAGCUGCUGAUAAAGCUACCCUUGAAAUAACCAGGUACUUGGACAACAAACUGCAUCCCUAGGAUUGGAUAGAAUGACACUGCAGAUUUACUUCAUCACUGGUUCGCAAGACCAAAGAAUUCAUCUCCCCUAAGCAUGGAUGGAGAAAAUGGUGGGGGAGGGUUUCUUUACAUUUUAUCAAAUAAACUUUCUAAACUGUA